This 928-nucleotide ribosomal RNA is filed under the name uncultured SAR86 cluster bacterium. Its description in RNAcentral is "bacterial SSU rRNA". It matches the Rfam family "Bacterial small subunit ribosomal RNA", at positions 394 to 1316 of the family's 1533-position model. Lineage: Bacteria; Pseudomonadati; Pseudomonadota; Gammaproteobacteria. The record is from RNAcentral.
AUACCGCGUGUGUGAAGAAGGCCUUCGGGUUGUAAAGCACUUUAAGCAGGGAGAAAAAGUUAUAGGUUAAUACCCUAUGACCUUGAUGUUACCUGCAGAAUAAGCACCGGCUAAUUCCGUGCCAGCAGCCGCGGUAAUACGGAAGGUGCAAGCGUUAAUCGGAAUUACUGGGCGUAAAGCGCGCGUAGGUGGUUUGUUAAGUUGGAUGUGAAAGCCCUGGGCUCAACCUAGGAACUGCAUCCAAAACUAACUCACUAGAGUACGAUAGAGGGAGGUAGAAUUCAUAGUGUAGCGGUGGAAUGCGUAGAUAUUAUGAAGAAUACCAGUGGCGAAGGCGGCCUCCUGGAUCUGUACUGACACUGAGGUGCGAAAGCGUGGGUAGCGAACAGGAUUAGAUACCCUGGUAGUCCACGCCGUAAACGAUGACAACUAGCUGUUGGGAGACUAUGUCUUUCAGUGGCGCAGCUAACGCUUUAAGUUGUCCGCCUGGGGAGUACGGCCGCAAGGCUAAAACUCAAAUGAAUUGACGGGGACCCGCACAAGCGGUGGAGCAUGUGGUUUAAUUCGAUGCAACGCGAAAGACCUUACCUACUCUUGACAUACUUGGAGGCUCUUGUAAUGAGAGCGUGCCUUUUGGAACCAAGAUACAGGUGCUGCAUGGCUGUCGUCAGCUCGUGUCGUGAGAUGUUCCGUUAAGUCGGAUAACGAGCGCAACCCUUACCCUUAUUUGCCAGCGAUUCGGUCGGGAACUAUAAGGGGACUGCCGGUGAUAAACCGGAGGAAGGUGAGGACGACGUCAAGUCAUCAUGGCCCUUACGAGUAGGGCUACACACGUGCUACAAUGGAGAAUACAGACGGACGCUAAGCCGCGAGGUGGUGCUAAUCCUAGAAAGUUCUUCGUAGUCCGGAUUGGAGUCUGCAACUCGAC